RNAcentral lists this ribosomal RNA (2193 nucleotides) under gut metagenome. RNAcentral's name for it is "bacterial LSU rRNA". It matches the Rfam family "Bacterial large subunit ribosomal RNA", at positions 14 to 2299 of the family's 2925-position model. The record is from RNAcentral.
AGGGCGCAGGGCGAAUGCCUUGGCACUGGGAGCCGAUGAAAGACGUGAUAAGCUGCGAUAAGCUUCGGGGAGCUGCAAAUAAGCAUUGAUCCGGAGAUUUCUGAAUGAGGAAACUCACCUGGGUUCAUACUCAGGUACGUUAUACUGAACUUAAAAAUAGGUAUAUCGAGGGAACCGCCUGAACUGAAACAUCUAAGUAGGGCGAGGAAGAGACAUCAAACGAGAUUCCGUAAGUAGUGGCGAGCGAACGCGGAAGAGGGCAAACCGGGAGUAGAAAUACUUCCGGGGUACGGACUGCUUUUAGGACUUAAUCUGUUAACCGAACGGCAUGGGAAGGCCGGUCAGAGAGUGUGAGAACCACGUAGGUGAAAACGGAGAGAGCUGCGCAGGAUCCAGAGUACGGCCAGACACGUGAAACCUGGUCGGAAUACGGGGGGACCACCCUCCAACCCUAAAUACUACCCAGUGACCGAUAGCGUAUAGUACUGUGAAGGAAAGGUGAAAAGCACCCCGGGAGGGGAGUGAAAAAGAACCUGAAACCCUGUGCCUACAAGCACCUAGAGCGCGUCAAAGCGUGAUAGGGUACUUUUUGUAGAACGGUCCGGCGAGCGAUUGUAUGCAGCAAGGUUAAGGACUUAAGGUCUGGAGCCGAAGCGAAAGCGAGUUUGAAAAGGGCGUUAAGUUGCAUAUAAUGGGCCCGAAACCGGGUGACCUACCCAUGGUCAGGUUGAAGUGGAAGUAAAAUUCCAUGGAGGACCGAACCGACCUCCGUUGAAAAGGCGGCGGAUGAACUGUGGGUAGCGGAGAAAUUCCAAUCGAACCCGGAGAUAGCUGGUUCUCCCCGAAAUAGUUUUAGGACUAGCCUCAAGUUAGAUACCUGGAGGUAAAGCACUGAAUAGCCUAGCGGCCGAGAGGUUAGCGAAGCUUAUCAAACUCAGAAUGCCAGAGUAUUGAUGCUUGGGAGUCAGACAGUGUCAGAUAAAUGUCAUUGUCAAAAGGGAAACAGCCCAGAUCUACAGCUAAGGUCCCAAAGUCAGGUUAAGUGGAAAACGAUGUGAAGAUACGUAGACAACCAGGAUGUUGGCUCAGAAGCAGCCACUCAUUCAAAGAGUGCGUAAUAGCUCACUGGUCGAGCGUCUUUGCGCGGAGAAUUUAACGGGGCUAAACCUGACACCGAAGCUUAGGCAAUACAGCAAUGUAUUGGGUAGGGGAGCGUUGUAUACGCGGUGAAACAGUAGCGCAAGCGGCUGUGGAGUGUAUAGAAGUGAGAAUGCCGGAAUGAGUAGCGCGAAUGCAGUGAGAAUCUGCAUGGCCGAAAGCCUCAGGUUUCUGGAGGAAGGUUCGUCCGCUCCAGGUUAGUCGGGAGCUAAGGUGAGGCCUAACGGCGUAGCCGAUGCACAGACGGUAGAGAUUCCGUCACCACCAAAAGAGUUAAACACAGGGACACAUAUGAAGUCUCGGAGCCGGGUGUUGGUUCCGGUAGCGAUCGAGGGAAAUUAGUACCGAAGUCCGGGAUGGAAGAUGGCGAGAAAAGCUGUGUGUAUUUCUGCGGUGCCCGUACCGCAAACCGACACAGGUAGGUAGGAAGAAGAUUCUAAGGCCAACGGGAGAAGGGUUGUUAAGGAACUCGGCAAAUUGACCCCGUAACUUCGGGAGAAGGGGUGCUCCAGAGAUGGAGCCGCAGAGAAUCGGCCCAAGCAACUGUUUACCAAAAACACAGGUUUGUGCUAAAUCGAAAGAUGACGUAUACGAGCUGACGCCUGCCCGGUGCUGGAAGGUUAAGAGGAGAUGUGCAAGCAUUGAAUCGAAGCCCCAGUGAACGGCGGCCGUAACUAUAACGGUCCUAAGGUAGCGAAAUUCCUUGUCAGGUAAGUUCUGACCCGCAUGAAAGGCGUAAUGAUUUGGGCACUGUCUCAACAGCCCGCCCGGCGAAAUUGUAGUACCGGUGAAGAUGCCGGUUACCCGCGACAAGACGGAAAGACCCCAUGGAGCUUUACUGUAGCCUAAUAUUGGGUUUCGAUGUUGCAUGCACAGGAUAGAUGGGACACAGGGAAACAAGUGCUUUGGCAUUUGUGGAGUGGCCGUUGGGAUACCAUCCUUGCGAUAUUGGAAUUCUAACCUGCGCCUUUGAAUCAAGGCGGGGGACAUUGUUAGGUGGGCAGUUUGACUGGGGCGGUCGCCUCCUAAAGAGUA